Molecule: ribosomal RNA, 434 nt
Filed under: uncultured bacterium
Lineage: Bacteria
Description: partial 16S ribosomal RNA
Rfam family: Bacterial small subunit ribosomal RNA
Source: RNAcentral
AGCGAACGCUGGCGGCAGGCCUAACACAUGCAAGUCGAACGAACCUUUCGGGGUUAGUGGCGGACGGGUGAGUAACACGUGGGAACGUGCCUUUAGGUUCGGAAUAACUCAGGGAAACUUGUGCUAAUACCGAAUGUGCCCUUCGGGGGAAAGAUUAAUCGCCUUUAGAGCGGCCCGCGUCUGAUUAGCUAGUUGGUUGAGGUAAUGGCUCACCAAGGCGACGAUCAGUAGCUGGUCUGAGAGGAUGAUCAGCCACAUUGGGACUGAGACACGGCCCAAACUCCUACGGGAGGCAGCAGUGGGGAAUCUUGCGCAAUGGGCGAAAGCCUGACGCAGCCAUGCCGCGUGAAUGAUGAAGGUCUUAGGAUUGUAAAAUUCUUUCACCGGGGACGAUAAUGACGGUACCCGGAGAAGAAGCCCAGGCUAACUUCGUG